GGCGAGAUGGCCGAGUUGGUUAUGGCGCCAGGUUAAGGAUCAUCCUUAGCAUCAUAUCCUGGUAGGGAAACCUGCGUGGGUUCAAGUCCCACUCUCGUCA
This 100-nucleotide transfer RNA is filed under the name Terfezia claveryi. Its description in RNAcentral is "tRNA-Leu". It matches the Rfam family "tRNA". From Rfam's summary of the family: Transfer RNA (tRNA) molecules are approximately 80 nucleotides in length. Their secondary structure includes four short double-helical elements and three loops (D, anti-codon, and T loops). Further hydrogen bonds mediate the characteristic L-shaped molecular structure. tRNAs have two regions of fundamental functional importance: the anti-codon, which is responsible for specific mRNA codon recognition, and the 3' end, to which the tRNAs corresponding amino acid is attached (by aminoacyl-tRNA synthetases). tRNAs cope with the degeneracy of the genetic code in two manners: having more than one tRNA (with a specific anti-codon) for a particular amino acid; and 'wobble' base-pairing, i.e. permitting non-standard base-pairing at the 3rd anti-codon position. The record is from RNAcentral. RNAcentral also lists the same sequence under 1 other name. Lineage: Eukaryota; Fungi; Ascomycota; Pezizomycetes; Pezizales; Pezizaceae.